AAGGACGAACGCUGGCGGCAUGCCUAACACAUGCAAGUCGAACGGAAGUAGCAAUACUUAGUGGCGAACGGGUGAGUAACACGUGAGCAACCUGCCUUAUACUCAGGGAUAACAGUUGGAAACGACUGCUAAUACCGGAUAAGACCACACUAUGGCAUCAUAGAGGGGUCAAAGUGCUUUAGCGGUAUGAGAUGGGCUCGCGUCCAAUUAGCUAGUUGGUGGGGUAACGGCCCACCAAGGCGACGAUUGGUAGCCGACUUGAGAGAGUGAUCGGCCACACUGGAACUGAGACACGGUCCAGACUCCUACGGGAGGCAGCAGUGGGGAAUAUUGGGCAAUGGAGGAAACUCUUUAACCCCAGCAAUGCCGCGUGAGUGAUGAAGGUCUUUGGAUUGUAAAGCUCUUUGAUUGGGGAAGAAUAAAUGACGGUACCCAAAGAACAAGCCCCGGCUAACUAUGUGCCAGCAGCCGC
This 472-nucleotide ribosomal RNA is filed under the name uncultured bacterium. RNAcentral's name for it is "bacterial SSU rRNA". It matches the Rfam family "Bacterial small subunit ribosomal RNA", at positions 26 to 518 of the family's 1533-position model. The record is from RNAcentral.